UACAGGGGGGGCAAGCGUUGUUCGGAAUUACUGGGCGUAAAGGGCUCGUAGGCGGCCGACUAAGUCCGACGUGAAAUCCCAAAGCUUAACUUUGGAACUGCGUCGGAUACUGGAUGGCUUGAAGUCGGGAGAGGGAUGCAGAAUUCCAGGUGUAGCGGUGAAAUGCGUAGAUAUCUGGAGGAAUACCGGUGGCGAAGGCGGCAUCCUGGACCGACAUUGACGCUGAGGAGCGAAAGCCAGGGGAGCAAACGGG
This 253-nucleotide ribosomal RNA is filed under the name uncultured bacterium. Its description in RNAcentral is "partial 16S ribosomal RNA". It matches the Rfam family "Bacterial small subunit ribosomal RNA", at positions 524 to 776 of the family's 1533-position model. The record is from RNAcentral.